Molecule: ribosomal RNA, 492 nt
Filed under: uncultured bacterium
Lineage: Bacteria
Description: partial 16S ribosomal RNA
Rfam family: Bacterial small subunit ribosomal RNA
Source: RNAcentral
AGUGAACGCUGGCGGUAGGCCUAACACAUGCAAGUCGAACGGCAGCACAGUAAGAGCUUGCUCUUACGGGUGGCGAGUGGCGGACGGGUGAGGAAUACAUCGGAAUCUACUUUUUCGUGGGGGAUAACGUAGGGAAACUUACGCUAAUACCGCAUACGACCUACGGGUGAAAGCAGGGGAUCUUCGGACCUUGCGCGAUUCAAUGAGCCGAUGUCGGAUUAGCUAGUUGGCGGGGUAAAGGCCCACCAAGGCGACGAUCCGUAGCUGGUCUGAGAGGAUGAUCAGCCACACUGGAACUGAGACACGGUCCAGACUCCUACGGGAGGCAGCAGUGGGGAAUAUUGGACAAUGGGCGCAAACCUGAUCCAGCCAUACCGCGUGGGUGAAGAAGGCCUUCGGGUUGUAAAGCCCUUUUGUUGGGAAAGAAAAGCAGCAGGUGAAUACCCCGCUGUUCUGACGGUACCCAAAGAAUAAGCACCGGCUAACUUCGUG